AAUACGAAGGGGGCAAGCGUUGUUCGGAAUUACUGGGCGUAAAGGGCGCGUAGGCGGCUUAUCAAGUCAGGCGUGAAAUUCCCGGGCUCAACCUGGGGGCUGCGCUUGAUACUGAUGAGCUUGAAUGCGGGAGAGGAUAGUGGAAUUCCCAGUGUAGAGGUGAAAUUCGUAGAUAUUGGGAAGAACACCGGUGGCGAAGGCGGCUAUCUGGCCCGUAAUUGACGCUGAGGCGCGAAAGCGUGGGGAGCAAACAGGA
RNAcentral lists this ribosomal RNA (256 nucleotides) under uncultured prokaryote. Its description in RNAcentral is "partial 16S ribosomal RNA". It matches the Rfam family "Bacterial small subunit ribosomal RNA", at positions 522 to 777 of the family's 1533-position model. The record is from RNAcentral.